RNAcentral lists this ribosomal RNA (2235 nucleotides) under Clostridioides difficile. RNAcentral's name for it is "partial 23S ribosomal RNA". It matches the Rfam family "Bacterial large subunit ribosomal RNA", at positions 669 to 2925 of the family's 2925-position model. Lineage: Bacteria; Bacillati; Bacillota; Clostridia; Peptostreptococcales; Peptostreptococcaceae. The record is from RNAcentral.
UAGCGAAAGCGAGUUUUAACUGAGCGUUCAGUUACUUGACGUAGACCCGAAACCGGGCGACCUACCCAUGAGCAGGAUGAAGCGAAAGUAAAAUUUCGUGGAGGUCCGAACCCACGAGCGUUGAAAAGCUCGGGGAUGACUUGUGGGUAGCGGUGAAAUUCCAAUCGAGCCCGGAGAUAGCUGGUUCUCCCCGAAAUAGCUUUAGGGCUAGCCUCAAGGUGAGAGAUACGGAGGUAGAGCACUGAAUGUCCUAGGGGGUAUUGCACCUACCGAAGACUAUCAAACUCCGAAUGCCGUCAUCUUAUACUUGGGAGUCAGACUGUGGGUGAUAAGAUUCAUAGUCGAAAGGGCAACAGCCCAGAUCGUCAGCUAAGGUCCCUAAAUGUAAGUUAAGUGGUAAAGGAUGUGGGAUUGCACAGACAACCAGGAUGUUGGCUUAGAAGCAGCCACUCAUUCAAAGAGUGCGUAAUAGCUCACUGGUCGAGUGAUCCUGCGCCGAAGAUUUCCGGGGCUAAAACUUACUACCGAAGCUACGGCAUCAGUAAUGAUGGGUAGGGGAGCUUCCCAUACGGGUUGAAGCAUGACCGUAAGGACAUGUGGACAGUAUGGGAGUGAGAAUGUUGGCAUGAGUAGCGAGAUGUGGGUGAGAAUCCCACAGGCCGUAAACCCAAGGUUUCCAGGGGAAGGUUCGUCCGCCCUGGGUUAGUCGGGACCUAAGCUGAGGCCGAAAGGCGUAGGUGAUGGACAACAGGUUGAUAUUCCUGUACUACCGAUAACCGUUUGAGAGAAGGGAUGACACAGUAGGAUAAGCUAAGCACACUGUUGGUUAUGUGUGCCCAAGCAUUGAGGCAGUCAAAGUAGGCAAAUCCGCUUUGAUAAUGCUGGGAUGUGAUGGGGAGCGAAAUUUAGUAGCGAAGUAGCUGAUUUCACACUGUCAAGAAAAGUCUCUAUCGAGGUUAAAGGUACCCGUACCGCAAACCGACACAGGUGGGUGAGGAGAGUAUCCUAAGGCCAGCGAGAGAACUGUUGUUAAGGAACUCGGCAAAAUGACCCCGUAACUUAGGGAUAAGGGGUGCCACCAUCAGGUGGCCGCAGAGAAUAGGCCCAAGCGACUGUUUACCAAAAACAUAGGUUUCUGCUAAGUCGCAAGACGAUGUAUAGGAGCUGACGCCUGCCCGGUGCUGGAAGGUUAAGGGGAUCUGUUAGAGCAAUCGAAGCAGUGAACUUAAGCCCCAGUAAACGGCGGCCGUAACUAUAACGGUCCUAAGGUAGCGAAAUUCCUUGUCGGGUAAGUUCCGACCCGCACGAAAGGCGUAACGAUUUGGGCACUGUCUCAACAACAGACUCGGUGAAAUUGUAAUUCCGGUGAAGAUGCCGGAUACCUGCGACAGGACGGAAAGACCCCAUGGAGCUUUACUGUAGCUUGACAUUGGGUCUUGGUACUACAUGUACAGGAUAGGUGGGAGGCUUUGAAACCAGGACGCCAGUUUUGGCGGAGCCAUCCUUGGGAUACCACCCUUGUAGUACUGGGACUCUAACCAUAGGCCAUGAAUCUGGUCUUGGGACACUGUCAGGUGGGCAGUUUGACUGGGGCGGUCGCCUCCCAAAAGGUAACGGAGGCGCUCAAAGGUUCUCUCAGUACGGUCGGAAAUCGUACGUAGAGUGUAAAGGCAAAAGAGAGCUUGAUUGCAAGACAUACAGGUCGAGCAAGGAUGAAAAUCGGACUUAGUGAUCCGGUGGUUCUGCGUGGAAGGGCCAUCGCUCAACGGAUAAAAGCUACCCUGGGGAUAACAGGCUUAUCUCCCCCAAGAGUCCACAUCGACGGGGAGGUUUGGCACCUCGAUGUCGGCUCAUCACAUCCUGGGGCUGUAGUAGGUCCCAAGGGUUGGGCUGUUCGCCCAUUAAAGUGGUACGCGAGCUGGGUUCAGAACGUCGUGAGACAGUUCGGUCCCUAUCCGUCGCAGGCGUAGGAAAUUUGAGAAGACCUGUCCUUAGUACGAGAGGACCGGGAUGGACGUACCUCUGGUGUACCAGUUGUCCUGCCAAGGGCAUGGCUGGGUAGCUAUGUACGGAAUGGAUAAGCGCUGAAAGCAUCUAAGCGCGAAGCCAACUUCAAGAUAAGAUUUCCCACCGCAAGGGUAAGACCCCAGAAAGACUAUCUGGUUGAUAGGUCGAAGGUGUAAGUGCAGCAAUGUAUUUAGCUUAUCGAUACUAAUAGGUCGAGGACUUGACCAA